UACGGGGGGAGCAAGCGUUGUUCGGAUUUACUGGGCGUAAAGGGCGCGUAGGCGGCCAGCACAAGUCAGUUGUGAAAUCUCCGAGCUUAACUCGGAAAGGUCAACUGAUACUGUGCGGCUAGAGUGUGGUAGGGGAGAUCGGAAUUCCUGGUGUAGCGGUGAAAUGCGCAGAUAUCAGGAGGAACACCGGUGGCGAAGGCGGAUCUCUGGGCCAUUACUGACGCUGAGGAGCGAAAGCUUGGGGAGCGAACAGG
RNAcentral lists this ribosomal RNA (254 nucleotides) under uncultured bacterium. RNAcentral's name for it is "partial 16S ribosomal RNA". It matches the Rfam family "Bacterial small subunit ribosomal RNA", at positions 524 to 776 of the family's 1533-position model. The record is from RNAcentral.